RNAcentral lists this ribosomal RNA (516 nucleotides) under Nakaseomyces glabratus. RNAcentral describes it as "eukaryotic LSU rRNA". It matches the Rfam family "Eukaryotic large subunit ribosomal RNA", at positions 92 to 611 of the family's 3401-position model. The record is from RNAcentral. Lineage: Eukaryota; Fungi; Ascomycota; Saccharomycetes; Saccharomycetales; Saccharomycetaceae.
AGUGAAGCGGCAAAAGCUCAAAUUUGAAAUCUGGUACCUUUGGUGCCCGAGUUGUAAUUUGGAGAGUACCACUUUGGGACUGUACUUUGCCUAUGUUCCUUGGAACAGGACGUCAUGGAGGGUGAGAAUCCCGUGUGGCGAGGGUGUCAGUUCUUUGUAAAGGGUGCUCGAAGAGUCGAGUUGUUUGGGAAUGCAGCUCUAAGUGGGUGGUAAAUUCCAUCUAAAGCUAAAUACAGGCGAGAGACCGAUAGCGAACAAGUACAGUGAUGGAAAGAUGAAAAGAACUUUGAAAAGAGAGUGAAAAAGUACGUGAAAUUGUUGAAAGGGAAGGGCAUUUGAUCAGACAUGGUGUUUUGCGCCCCUUGCCUCUCGUGGGCUUGGGACUCUCGCAGCUCACUGGGCCAGCAUCGGUUUUGGCGGCCGGAAAAAACCUAGGGAAUGUGGCUCUGCGCCUCGGUGUAGAGUGUUAUAGCCCUGGGGAAUACGGCCAGCCGGGACCGAGGACUGCGAUACUUG